This 494-nucleotide ribosomal RNA is filed under the name uncultured bacterium. RNAcentral describes it as "bacterial SSU rRNA". It matches the Rfam family "Bacterial small subunit ribosomal RNA", at positions 28 to 520 of the family's 1533-position model. The record is from RNAcentral.
GAUGAACGCUAGCGGGAGGCCUAAUACAUGCAAGUCGAGCGGUAGAGUGACUUCGGUUGCUUGAGAGCGGCGAACGGGUGAGUAACGCGUACACAAUCUACCUUUAAGAGGGGAAUAGCCCUGGGAAACUGGGAUUAAUGCCCCAUGGCAUCACGAGACGGCAUCGUUUUGUGAUUAAAGCUGAGGUGCUUAGAGAUGAGUGUGCGUCUGAUUAGCUAGUUGGUGCGGUAACGGCGCACCAAGGCGACGAUCAGUAGGGGGCGUGAGAGCGUGGACCCCCACACGGGUACUGAGACACGGACCCGACUCCUACGGGAGGCAGCAGUAAGGAAUAUUGGUCAAUGGGCGAGAGCCUGAACCAGCCAUCCCGCGUGAAGGAAGAAGGCGCUAUGCGUUGUAAACUUCUUUUUCAGGGGGAUAAAAUAUUGUAUGUAUACGAUACUGAAGGUACCCUGAGAAUAAGCAUCGGCUAACUCCGUGCCAGCAGCCGACGG